RNAcentral lists this ribosomal RNA (695 nucleotides) under uncultured Bacteroidales bacterium. RNAcentral describes it as "bacterial SSU rRNA". It matches the Rfam family "Bacterial small subunit ribosomal RNA", at positions 59 to 744 of the family's 1533-position model. Lineage: Bacteria; Pseudomonadati; Bacteroidota; Bacteroidia; Bacteroidales. The record is from RNAcentral.
AAGUCGAGGGGCAGCAUGGUCUUAGCUUGCUAAGGCCGAUGGCGACCGGCGCACGGGUGAGUAACACGUAUCCAACCUGCCGUCUACUCUUGGACAGCCUUCUGAAAGGAAGAUUAAUACAAGAUGGCAUCAUGAGUUCACAUGUUCACAUGAUUAAAGGUAUUCCGGUAGACGAUGGGGAUGCGUUCCAUUAGAUAGUAGGCGGGGUAACGGCCCACCUAGUCUUCGAUGGAUAGGGGUUCUGAGAGGAAGGUCCCCCACAUUGGAACUGAGACACGGUCCAAACUCCUACGGGAGGCAGCAGUGAGGAAUAUUGGUCAAUGGGCGAGAGCCUGAACCAGCCAAGUAGCGUGAAGGAUGACUGCCCUAUGGGUUGUAAACUUCUUUUAUAAAGGAAUAAAGUCGGGUAUGGAUACCCGUUUGCAUGUACUUUAUGAAUAAGGAUCGGCUAACUCCGUGCCAGCAGCCGCGGUAAUACGGAGGAUCCGAGCGUUAUCCGGAUUUAUUGGGUUUAAAGGGAGCGUAGAUGGAUGUUUAAGUCAGUUGUGAAAGUUUGCGGCUCAACCGUAAAAUUGCAGUUGAUACUGGAUAUCUUGAGUGCAGUUGAGGCAGGCGGAAUUCGUGGUGUAGCGGUGAAAUGCUUAGAUAUCACGAAGACUCCGAUUGCGAAGGCAGCCUGCUAAGCUGCAACUGAC